GAUGAACGCUGGCGGCGUGCUUAACACAUGCAAGUCGAACGGAAAGGCUCCUGCUUGCAGGGGUACUCGAGUGGCGAACGGGUGAGUAACACGUGGGUGAUCUGCCCUGCACUUCGGGAUAAGCCUGGGAAACUGGGUCUAAUACCGGAUAGGACGAUGGUUUGGAUGCCAUUGUGGAAAGUUUUUCGGUUUGGGAUGAGCUCGCGGCCUAUCAGCUUGUUGGUGGGGUAAUGGCCUACCAAGGCGUCGACGGGUAGCCGGCCUGCGAGGGUGUACGGCCACAUUGGGACUGAGAUACGGCACAGACUCCUACGGGAGGCAGAAGUGGGGAAUAUUGCACAAUGGGCGCAAGCCUGAUGCAGCGACGCCGCGUGGGGGAUGACGGCCUUCGGGUUGUAAACUCCUUUCGCUAGGGACGAAGCGCAAGUGACGGUACCUGGAGAAGAAGCACCGGCUAACUACGUG
Molecule: ribosomal RNA, 465 nt
Filed under: uncultured bacterium
Lineage: Bacteria
Description: partial 16S ribosomal RNA
Rfam family: Bacterial small subunit ribosomal RNA
Source: RNAcentral